This is a long non-coding RNA of Lemur catta (Ring-tailed lemur), 2610 nucleotides long. RefSeq lists it as uncharacterized. The record is from RefSeq and is a predicted model, not a curated record. Lineage: Eukaryota; Metazoa; Chordata; Mammalia; Primates; Lemuridae. The transcript is spliced from 3 exons.
UCAAAAUCCCUCUUCCGAACUCGAAAGGCUACUUCAGCUUCAAGGAGGGCUUCCUGCUUGCUUAGUCUUUUGAGGUCCAGCCACCUGGGAGGCCUCCGUGUCCGAGCAGCGCAGGUCUAGAGCAGUUUCACAUACAGAUGUGUCUCCCUGUCCAACUGCACAAGAAGUUGCUGACCUCAUUGCAAAGACAGCAGAAGGUCCAGACGGGGGUCUUCUUCCUGUCUGGUCAGCUGAUGGUUCAGCAUGUUUUGAUGUCACUUGAUCCAUCUUUCCAGCCCUCCUCCACUUCUUGAGAGCUUCGGUCCUCUCCUCCGGAGUGAGUCUGUCAAAGUGCUUAGCUCUCAGAAUUGGAGACGGAAACAGGGAUCCCUGCAGAACUCUGUAUACAAACCUGAGUUAGAAAGAACAUCACCGAAUUAAAUUCACCUCAAAGGCAUCAUGGGACACACAAAUGAUACUGACCAAUUAGAAAAAAUAAAAUGAUUUGGUGGCCACUUAGCUCCUGAGUAAAGGGGGAGAGUAAGUGAACUAUAAAAUGGAGAUAGAAACAAUAUUAAGUAAUAGUUGUAAAGCACUUAGAAAAUACUACGUGCAGUUCCCCUCAGCCAGUUCCCAGAAGGAGCACCCCACGCCUUCCAGAGCCACACGGUCAUGGUGGAAACAGAAGCCCAGAGGGAGGCAGGUGCAGGAGGCUGACAGCUGCCUCCACCUCGGCAGAACAAUUCUGACAAGUCUGGGAGCUCAUGGUUGGUCAGCAAUGAGGAGCUAACCAGAAAAAAAUGGUGGAUAUCAGACUUCCCAGCCUUCAGGACUGUGAGCCAAUCAAUUUCUCUUUGUAAAUUGCCCAGUCUGGGGUAUUCCAUUGUAGCAGCACAAAAUCACCCAAGAUAAAGGCAACAUCCUCGGGAGAUGGCAGAACAAAAAGGGAGAGAAAGGGUUCUAGGUCCUUGAAUAACCUCAUGAAGAAAGGCUGCCCUAACCCUGUGAACUGUCAACAGAUUAGACAUGUUAAGGAGAGAAACUCAAACCUCCCAGUUUGCUUAAUGAAACCAUUUUUUUCUCCAAUAAAACAGUUAAAGCCAGUAUUUUAACCAGUACGCAGACUGACUUCCCUGCUACUGAACAGGCUGGUCUGCCAACCAUUCCUAGUAGCGGCUCAAAGGAGUCUAAGCCUAGGACUCCAUUUACCCUCUGGAUGAUAGAACCCGCACACUGUACCUGGGCAGAAGAGCCACGCAGGUGGUGAGGAUGCAAACUAAGUAGAACACCGGAUCCAGCAUGUGCUCCUGCAUAAUCCAGUAGGGGUUGGACGGUGGGUUGCAAGUGACGCACAUGGCUCCAAAAGCCAAGGCAAAGAGGAAGUAAGACACGACACUGCUGACGAUGACCAGCAUGUGGAUCCACGUCUGCGAGACAAGAGGAGCAAAGGACAUGAAUCCUCUCCCACCGACAGGGUGUGGCCUGGCAACACUGCUCCACUACAGAGAGAACACACCUGAGCACCGCACGAACGGUCUAGCAGAACACAGCAGACCGAGGAGUGACGAAGAAGUUCCCUUUGGGGACAAUUCCAGAUAUCACGGUUACAAGAUGCACCCUGGGCCACAGAGCUGCCCCUCAGAGGACAAUUCCUUCUAGAGCUGUCUGGAACAUCAGCCAACUUUAUGUGAGCAAGAAAGAAAUCUUUGUGUGUCACAGCAGAACCUAGGUUGAGCUGAUACAAGGAUGUUAAAGUCGAGGAACAUGUGGUAGAAACUGACCAUGAAGUGGGAAGGAGAUGGCAUGAAGAGCUUAACAGAGACACCGCUAAUAGAAGACAUUUCCCCAACCACAAAGGGUUUCAGGAUCCUUCAGAGGCAGGAAAACCACUCACCAAACUCUUGCUUUCAAUGACCAGAUGGAGGAGAAUGAUGAACAGCGCAGCUGUGUUCAGGGGGUUUCCAAAAGUAAAGAUGUCAAUGUCGGAGCCCCGGUAGGUCUACAAAGAGAGGACAACAGAGGGUAAUCCUGGAGAGCUGUGCAUGCUCGCCGUAACACUACUCUAGCUACAGCUCAACGGAGGCUUAUGUCUCUUCUACAACAUCCCUAUGAACCGGUCCUUUAAGAUAAACUUCAGCAUUUCCAGAAGAGAGAUGCUAAUUCUCUCCUAGAUAGGCCACCUAAUCUUCACACUUUGCAGUUGGAAUUCUUCUUUAUUCUGAACCACAAUUGAUCUUCCUGAAACCUUUUACUCACACUUCUAGCUCUUUAAGGUAAAGAGAAAUUUUUUCCACUUAACAGAGCUUCAAAACUGUGAAGCAGUUAUUAGGACUACUCUAAGUUUGUAUCUCUCCUAGGUAACUAUACCCUCCUCUCCUCUGUAUGUCUUCAUGUUCUUAUCUUUCACCAUCGUUUUCAUCCUCUCCUGAAUCCACUUCAGAUUGCCUUGUCUGUGUAUUUCUCUUGAACUGCAGUACAGCCAGAAUGCUCUAGUGAGGCUAAUUCAAACAAUCAUUUAAAUAUUUUGAAUAAUAUUUGAAUAAAGAAUGAAGAUUGUUAACUUAGAGACUAACAUUUUUUUCUUUGUUAAUACUGUACUCUGUUAAUACCAUCCAUGAUAAAACAACUGUU